GCAGUAGCCACGGUAAUACGAAGGGUGCAAGCGUUAAUCGGAAUUACUGGGCGUAAAGCGUGCGUAGGCGGUUUGUUAAGUCUGCUGUGAAAUCCCCGGGCUCAGCCUGGGAAUGGCAGUGGAUACUGGCAAGCUAGAGUGUGUCAGAGGAUGGUGGAAUUCCCGGUGUAGCGGUGAAAUGCGUAGAGAUCGGGAGGAACAUCAGUGGCGAAGGCGGCCAUCUGGGACAACACUGACGCUGAGGCACGAAAGCGUGGGGAGCAAACAGGAUUAGAUACCCCGGUAGUCCCUGUCUCUUAUAC
RNAcentral lists this ribosomal RNA (302 nucleotides) under uncultured bacterium. RNAcentral's name for it is "partial 16S ribosomal RNA". It matches the Rfam family "Bacterial small subunit ribosomal RNA", at positions 508 to 807 of the family's 1533-position model. The record is from RNAcentral.